UCAGAACGAACGCUGGCGGCGUGCCUAACACAUGCAAGUCGAACGCGAACGUCUUCUUCGGAGGACAAGUAGAGUGGCGCACGGGUGAGUAACGCGUAAGUAAUCUGUCCUGGCAUCUGGGAUAACCUAUCGAAAGGUGAGCUAAUACCGGAUACGUCCUGCGGGAGAAAGACCGCCUCUGUUGUAAGCGGUUGUGCGAGGAGGAGCUUGCGUACCAUUAGCUGGUUGGUGGGGUAACGGCCUACCAAGGCGACGAUGGUUAGCGGGUCUGAGAGGMUGAUCCGCCACACUGGAACUGAAACACGGACCAGACUCCUACGGGAGGCAGCAGUGAGGAAUAUUGCGCAAUGGGGGCAACCCUGACGCAGCGACGCCGCGUGGAUGAUGAAGGCCUUCGGGUUGUAAAAUCCUGUCAGAUGGGAAGAAAUGUACGAUGGUUAAGAGCUGUCGUAUUUGACGUACCAUCAAAGGAAGCACCGCUA
This 482-nucleotide ribosomal RNA is filed under the name uncultured bacterium. RNAcentral describes it as "bacterial SSU rRNA". It matches the Rfam family "Bacterial small subunit ribosomal RNA", at positions 24 to 499 of the family's 1533-position model. The record is from RNAcentral.